RNAcentral lists this long non-coding RNA (201 nucleotides) under Elaeis guineensis (African oil palm). RNAcentral describes it as "long non-coding RNA (EGUI_LNC050012)". The record is from RNAcentral. Lineage: Eukaryota; Viridiplantae; Streptophyta; Magnoliopsida; Arecales; Arecaceae.
CCAAAAGUUAGACAAGAUUAUUACAUCUCUAUUGUAGAGAUUUGGUGCAUGAAUUUUAAGAAGAAAUGAUUCUUCUCAUAAUCUCUAGCAUAGAGAUCAAGAUCCUCCUAUAUCUUCUUAUUCUCUAAGAGUGUCUUAGGAGAAAAGAAGAUUUUCAACCAUCAAGAUAUAAUCUCUAUAAUGGAGCUAGCACUCCCAGUG